Rhododendron vialii is the source of this 855-nucleotide long non-coding RNA. RefSeq lists it as uncharacterized. The record is from RefSeq and is a predicted model, not a curated record. The transcript has 4 exons. Lineage: Eukaryota; Viridiplantae; Streptophyta; Magnoliopsida; Ericales; Ericaceae.
AACUAUAACAUAUGUGCUGUUAUUAAUAUAUUAGAGUCAUCUGAAGUGCAUUCUGAAGACAACAAAGCCCUUCCAGAGAAAAGCAAGAAAAGAAGGUUCAAGACACCAUCUCAAGUUGAGGCUUUAGAGAAAUUUUACAUUGAGUCAGUAGGGCUGUCAGAAAAGCAAGUUUCUGGGUGGUUUUGCCACUGAAGGUUGAAGGACAAGAAACAGGAUGGUGAAACAGCUGCAACUGGAAGACAAGAUCGUUCAAGUAAGUGGUAGUGAACAUUAGGUUUUGCCACAGAAGUGGUCAAGAAUGAUUGAAAGAAACAAUUUUCCUUUAGAUGAGAGAAGAGCAUAUGGACUCCACACAAGGUCUAUGACUUGAAAAAGAAAAAAGUUCCGUUACUUUCUUCCCGUGCAGGAGGAAUUGGAAGAAGGUAAUGCCUGCUUUUGUUUGCUUGCUGUGGAUGUCUAUUAUGGUUCUUUGCUGCAAUUGUUUUUCUUAAGACUUCUACUACGUGCUGCAUAUUUUCGGGGAUGAUUUUUGCUGCUACAACUUCUGAUACAACUUCAACCUACGGGUAUGUUCCUUAUAUUUUGGAAGGUUUCAGGUAGCCCAUUUAUGUGGUUGGCUUUGGGAGCAGAAAGAGUAUAAGCCCGGCAAAGAAAUAAGCUUCAAGUAAAGAAAAUCUACGCACGGAAUGAGAUGGUUGGCCUAGUUCAUGAUUAUAUUUUCAGGAAAGUAGAAUUACAUUAGUUAUUUUUUAAUGAGUCCAAUUAGUUGGGCUCUUUUACGUAAUUUUGUUGAAAAAUUGUUUCCCAAGCUAAUGUAAUAAAUCUUUAUUCAAUAGUUGAAUUGUUUAUUGUAUA